UUUAAUAAUCUCAAAAUAAUAUUCAUAAAAAUAUAGAUCUAGGUUUGUUGUGGUCGGCGAGCUAGGGUGGGGUUUGUCGAUGGGGAUGACAUGCUUGGCGUCAGAAUAAAUGACUAAUCAAAGGAAACAAAUAAGAAAUAAUUGCAAAUCAUUAUUUAAUUACUAGUUACAAAUAUAGUUUUGUGGCUCCACUCCCUAAAUUAAGGAUUGAUUUGAAGAGUGUUGUCAUCUACUAAAAGCCUUAUCAUUGUAUGUUUAAUCAUCAAAUGAGCUUGUAACUUUCUCAUGUAUAAAUAGGUGUUGUGUACCUUUGUUUAAUGAUAAAACCGUUUGAAGCUAAUAAAAAUUUACAAAGUCUUCUCCUUUAUUUUAUCUUGGUAUCAGACGCCAUUCGUGACUAAUAUCCAUGGAGUCUCAAAAUGAUUCUAAAGAGCAGUCGUCCACCACCACACAUCCUUCUCACCUAGUUGUACUAUCCAUCCCACCUAUUGAUCCUAUGUCCACCGCUCAUCCAGCUCUUGUUCCACAGGCUACAUUUGCCCAUGUUCUUUCUCAUCCUAUCACUCUAUACUCUUUCUCUAUUUCAAACUCUUGCUCCUCUUACUCUCAAACUUGACAUAGGUAAGUACUCUUUAUGGGAAUCUUAAGUUAUUCCAGCAGUUAAAGCUCACGAUUACAUUUUUGACAACACUUAACUUUGUCCACCGCAGUUUGUUGACAACACUAUUGCAAGUCAUAUUACUAGUGAACCCCCUCCAGUUAUCAUUUUUUUUAGCUUGUUGAUAUGCACACAUCAAGCUAUCAUCAGUUGGCUCAUGAAGUCCAUAUCUGAGACUAUUUUUGGUCAUAUUGUUCGAUGAACUAGUUCUUAUAAAGUCUAGCAUACUUUUGAGCUUCUAUCAAAUACACAACACUACAAAACACUUGAUUUUUAGUCACAACCUUUUGGUGACAACAAAAAUAAUUAGUGACUAAAUAUAUUUUGUAGUCAUGAUCUGUGACGAAUAAUAUUUUAGUCACAAUAAACUUGUUGUCACAAACACUAAAUUUUUUAAAUUUAUAAUUUUUAGAAGGCCACAACUAAAUGUUGUGACUGAAGUACAUUUAGUUACAACCACUAAAAUUUUAUGACUAAUAUUUGUGACUAAUUGAUAUUUAGUUACUAUCCUAAUAUGUUAUGACUAAUAAUUUUGUUUUAGUCACAGCUAUAUCUUCCUUUGUGACUAAUUUUUAAAAAUAAAAUAAAAGAUAUAUUUCUAAAUAAAACAGUAAAUGAAAUACAAGCCUCUUUCGUCUCUCUCGCUCUCUCUCUCUCUUGCAUCUUCGAAUCGGAUCUCUACCGGCGGCGAUGUACACCUGGUCGCUUGCUGAAUAUCGUUGCCGGAAUCGGAUCGGAUCUACUCCGGCGAUCAAAUUUCAAGGGCUCAAUCAUCUCUUCUUUCUUAGUUGCAGCAGAGUUUCCUCUUUUUUGUUUUACCUCUUCUGUCAACUCUAGCACAAGGACAUCGUACAAGGAUCUGAAGAUAUCAAUUUUGCCUAUUUUAGCCACAUCUAAAAGGUUUGAAAGAUUUGGUGUUGGACGUAUGUGAUCCUUGUUUCAAGCAGCAAAGGAAAAGGUCUGUUUAUUACACAACAUUAGUAUGUUGUAUUUGGUUUAUGGGUUUUGAGUUUUGGUGUGUGAAGUUACAAACUUUAGUCAUUUCCAUUAUUAUGCCGUAUUUUAAAUGAGUUUCUAAUUUGGUUUA
Long non-coding RNA from Humulus lupulus (European hop), 1745 nucleotides. RefSeq lists it as uncharacterized. The record is from RefSeq and is a predicted model, not a curated record. The transcript has 2 exons. Lineage: Eukaryota; Viridiplantae; Streptophyta; Magnoliopsida; Rosales; Cannabaceae.